GUACACAGGCACCACGUUGCAAUCUGCCGACCGGUGGUGCUGGUGCUCAGAAUGAAGCUCUUCAAUUGCAGGGCUCAAACUGGAACACGACCACAUGCUUCAAUCUUGUCAGGCUUUUGAGUUUUGACUGGUGGUGCUCAGUUGUUUGUUCAGAGAUCUGAAUCGAAGUCAGUAUCAUCAAGUUUGGAAAACUCAACUAUAUAAUUUGAUAUCAAUACUACUUAGUGGGUGUUUGGAUACUAGGUGCUAAACUUUAGUAGUGUCACAUCGGAUAUUCGGAUGCUAAUUAGAAGGACUAAACAUGAGCUAAUUACAAAACUAAUUGCAGAACCCCUGUGCUAAUUCGCGAGACAAAUCUAUUAAGCCUAAUUAAUCCAUCAUUAGCAAAUGGUUACUGUAGCACCACAUUGUCAAAUCAUGGACUAAUUAGGCUUAAUAGAUUCGUCUCGCGAAUUAGACUCCAUCUGUGUAAUUAGUUUUGUAAUUAGUCUAUAUUUAAUAAUCCUAAUUAGUAUCCAAACAUCCGAUGUGACAGGUGCUAAACUUUAGCACGGGUAUCAAACACCCCCUUAGUCAAAUUACAGGUACGUUAUGAAAAUUAUACAACUAGGUUCAUAUUUCAAAAUUAUUUUCGCAUGAUCUUGAUUUUAUAUCAAAUAUAAUUUGUAAUACAGGG
RNAcentral lists this long non-coding RNA (676 nucleotides) under Setaria viridis. Its description in RNAcentral is "long non-coding RNA (SVIR_LNC003041)". The record is from RNAcentral. Lineage: Eukaryota; Viridiplantae; Streptophyta; Magnoliopsida; Poales; Poaceae.